RNAcentral lists this long non-coding RNA (342 nucleotides) under Homo sapiens (human). RNAcentral's name for it is "HSALNT0136753". The record is from RNAcentral. Lineage: Eukaryota; Metazoa; Chordata; Mammalia; Primates; Hominidae.
GCAAAAUAUAUUGUGGCCAGUUUAGAAUAUUAAUAGUAUGUAUUAAAAUAAGUUGUAAGAGCAGUUGUUUUGAUAGAAACCAAUUAAUUUGUAAAUAUUUUUAAGUAGUUAUGAAGUAUUUGUUAGGUCUUGGAGAUGGAUGGUAAAAAUUAAAGUUACUCCCUUCAAGGGUUUCUGUCUAUUUGGGAGGCAAAGCUACACAGAAGAAAACAGAGAGAAGCAUAAGAUGGCAUAUGAAUCUGCUCCAUGCUCCAUGGUGCCGACUGUCUUUGUUGGGGAAUGACGUCUGGAAUCAUCUGAGAAGACGUUAUGGAAGUGGUAUCAUUGCAUGAUCCAGAUUUC